AGGAAAUAAGUUGACAAGUGACCAUUUGUGGUUAAUAUUUGUUUCUCUUGUUCUUUCUCUCCUACUAACCCAAGAUUCUUGUUCAGACACAUACACUCACUUUGGAACUACAAAGAGGAAUUCAGAAGUCAUGUCACAUACCUGGCUCAUGAACUUCAUCAGGUGUGAAGUGUCAUGGAACAAGAUGCAAUAGAGAACAAGAGAAUGAGAACAAGAAACCAGUUAUUUGACCAGCAACUUAAAUGGCUUUGGGCAAAGAGAAGAUUAAGAGGUUUUACAGGGGACAGUACAACUUCUACAGAGGCUCUUUCUUGCCCCUAGAAGCCUCACGAGAGAAGGUCUCCAUAAAAGAAGAAUGUAUUACCACUGCCUUGGGGUUUGAUCCCAAGUCCACUGCAUAAUGCACGAUGAGAAGAGAAGAAUUCAGAAGUCAUGUCACAUACCUGGUUCAUGAACUUCAUCAGG
Alligator mississippiensis (American alligator) is the source of this 465-nucleotide long non-coding RNA. RefSeq lists it as uncharacterized. The transcript has 3 exons. The record is from RefSeq and is a predicted model, not a curated record. Lineage: Eukaryota; Metazoa; Chordata; Crocodylia; Alligatoridae.